RNAcentral lists this ribosomal RNA (253 nucleotides) under uncultured bacterium. RNAcentral describes it as "partial 16S ribosomal RNA". It matches the Rfam family "Bacterial small subunit ribosomal RNA", at positions 524 to 776 of the family's 1533-position model. The record is from RNAcentral.
UACGGAGGGUGCAAGCGUUAUCCGGAUUCACUGGGUUUAAAGGGUGCGUAGGUGGGCAAGUAAGUCAGUGGUGAAAUCUCCGGGCUUAACCCGGAAACUGCCAUUGAUACUAUUUGUCUUGAAUACUGUGGAGGUCAGCGGAAUAUGUCAUGUAGCGGUGAAAUGCUUAGAUAUGACAUAGAACACCAAUUGCGAAGGCAGCUGGCUACACAAAUAUUGACACUGAGGCACGAAAGCGUGGGGAGCAAACAGG